RNAcentral lists this ribosomal RNA (495 nucleotides) under uncultured bacterium. Its description in RNAcentral is "bacterial SSU rRNA". It matches the Rfam family "Bacterial small subunit ribosomal RNA", at positions 28 to 509 of the family's 1533-position model. The record is from RNAcentral.
GAUGAACGCUAGCGGCAGGCUUAAUACAUGCAAGUUGAGGGGCAGCAUGAUAUACGCGAGUAUAUUGAUGGCGACCGGCGGACGGGUGAGUAAUAGGUAGGAGACCUACCUCAUACAGGGGGAUAGCAUAGAGAAAUCUGUGGUAAUACCCCAUGAGGUUAUAUGAAUAGAGGCAUAUAAUCAAAGCAUAAGCGAUUAUGCGGUAUGAGAGGGGCCUACUGACCAUUAGCUAGUUGGUGAGGUAAGGGCUCACCAAGGCGAAGAUGGUUAGGGGUUUUGAGAGAGAGACCCCCCACAUUGGAACUGAGAGACGGUCCAGACUCCUACGGGAGCAGCAGUAGGGAAUAUUGGGCAAUGGGCAAAGCCUGACCCAGCCAUGCCGCGUGAAGGAAGACGGCCUUAUGGGUUGUAAACUUCUUUACUACGCGAAUAGAGGUUAGUACGAGAUACUAAUAGGAAGGUAGUGUAGUAAAAGCAACCGGCUAACUCCGUGCC